This 1387-nucleotide ribosomal RNA is filed under the name uncultured organism. RNAcentral's name for it is "16S ribosomal RNA". It matches the Rfam family "Bacterial small subunit ribosomal RNA", at positions 28 to 1399 of the family's 1533-position model. The record is from RNAcentral.
GACGAACGCUGGCGGCGUGCCUAAUACAUGCAAGUAGAACGCUGAAGAGAGGAGCUUGCUCUUCUUGGAUGAGUUGCGAACGGGUGAGUAACGCGUAGGUAACCUGCCUUGUAGCGGGGGAUAACUAUUGGAAACGAUAGCUAAUACCGCAUAACAAUGGAUGACACAUGUCAUUUAUUUGAAAGGGGCAAUUGCUCCACUACAAGAUGGACCUGCGUUGUAUUAGCUAGUAGGUGAGGUAACGGCUCACCUAGGCGACGAUACAUAGCCGACCUGAGAGGGUGAUCGGCCACACUGGGACUGAGACACGGCCCAGACUCCUACGGGAGGCAGCAGUAGGGAAUCUUCGGCAAUGGGGGCAACCCUGACCGAGCAACGCCGCGUGAGUGAAGAAGGUUUUCGGAUCGUAAAGCUCUGUUGUAAGUCAAGAACGAGUGUGAGAGUGGAAAGUUCACACUGUGACGGUAGCUUACCAGAAAGGGACGGCUAACUACGUGCCAGCAGCCGCGGUAAUACGUAGGUCCCGAGCGUUGUCCGGAUUUAUUGGGCGUAAAGCGAGCGCAGGCGGUUUGAUAAGUCUGAAGUUAAAGGCUGUGGCUCAACCAUAGUUCGCUUUGGAAACUGUCAAACUUGAGUGCAGAAGGGGAGAGUGGAAUUCCAUGUGUAGCGGUGAAAUGCGUAGAUAUAUGGAGGAACACCGGUGGCGAAAGCGGCUCUCUGGUCUGUAACUGACGCUGAGGCUCGAAAGCGUGGGGAGCGAACAGGAUUAGAUACCCUGGUAGUCCACGCCGUAAACGAUGAGUGCUAGGUGUUGGAUCCUUUCCGGGAUUCAGUGCCGCAGCUAACGCAUUAAGCACUCCGCCUGGGGAGUACGACCGCAAGGUUGAAACUCAAAGGAAUUGACGGGGGCCCGCACAAGCGGUGGAGCAUGUGGUUUAAUUCGAAGCAACGCGAAGAACCUUACCAGGUCUUGACAUCCCGAUGCUAUUUCUAGAGAUAGAAAGUUACUUCGGUACAUCGGUGACAGGUGGUGCGUGGUUGUCGUCAGCUCGUGUCGUGAGAUGUUGGGUUAAGUCCCGCAACGAGCGCAACCCCUAUUGUUAGUUGCCAUCAUUCAGUCGGGCACUCUAGCGAGACUGCCGGUAAUAAACCGGAGGAAGGUGGGGAUGACGUCAAAUCAUCAUGCCCCUUAUGACCUGGGCUACACACGUGCUACAAUGGUUGGUACAACGAGUUGCGAGUCGGUGACGGCAAGCUAAUCUCUUAAAGCCAAUCUCAGUUCGGAUUGUAGGCUGCAACUCGCCUACAUGAAGUCGGAAUCGCUAGUAAUCGCGGAUCAGCACGCCGCGGUGAAUACGUUCCCGGGCCUUGUACACACCGCCCGUCA